UAAACGGCCGCGGUACCCUAACCGUGCAAAGGUAGCGUAAUCAUUUGUCUAUUAAUUGUAGACCCGUAUGAAAGGCAUAAUGAGGGUUUAACUGUCUCUUUUAGUAAAUCAAUUAAACUGAUCUCCUAGUCCAAAAGCUAGGAUACCAACAUAAGACCAGAAGACCCUGUGAAACUUUAACUAAAAUAUUAAAACCUAUAAUAUCUACUUUAGGUUGGGGCGACCUUGGAAAAUAAAAGAACUUCCACAUACACAUUAUACAUAAUGUACCACCGGCCAACAAGCCUACAACGACCCAGCACAGCUGAUAAUUGAACCAAGCUACUCCAGGGAUAACAGCGCUAUCUUCUUCAAGAGCCCAUAUCAAAAAGAAGGUUUACGACCUCGAUGUUGGAUCAGGACAUCCUAAUGGUGCAACCGCUAUUAAGGGUUCGUUUGUUCAACGAUUAAUAGUCCUACGUGAUCUG
This 467-nucleotide ribosomal RNA is filed under the name Hydrophis schistosus (beaked sea snake). RNAcentral describes it as "partial 16S ribosomal RNA". It matches the Rfam family "Bacterial large subunit ribosomal RNA", at positions 1924 to 2607 of the family's 2925-position model. The record is from RNAcentral. Lineage: Eukaryota; Metazoa; Chordata; Lepidosauria; Squamata; Elapidae.